Molecule: non-coding RNA, 21 nt
Organism: Caenorhabditis elegans
Lineage: Eukaryota; Metazoa; Nematoda; Chromadorea; Rhabditida; Rhabditidae
Source: Ensembl
UGCCUCGGAUGUACCAUGGUU